Molecule: ribosomal RNA, 406 nt
Filed under: uncultured bacterium
Lineage: Bacteria
Description: partial 16S ribosomal RNA
Rfam family: Bacterial small subunit ribosomal RNA
Source: RNAcentral
AUUGAACGCUGGCGGCAGGCUUAACACAUGCAAGUCGAGCGAGCGGCGGACGGGUGAGUAAUGUCUGGGAAACUGCCUGAUGGAGGGGGAUAACUACUGGAAACGGUAGCUAAUACCGCAUACCAUCAGAUGUUCCCAGAUGUGAUUAGCUAGUAGGUGGGGUAAUGGCUCACCUAGGCGACGAUCCCUAGCUGGUCUGAGAGGAUGACAAGCAACACUGGAACUGAGAAACGGUCCAGACUCCGACGGGAGGCAGCAGUGGGGAAUAUUGCACAAGGGGGGCAAGCCGGAUGCAGACAGGCCGCGUGGUUGAAGAAGGCCUUCGGGUGGUAAAGCACUUGCAGCGAGGAGGCGUUACUCGCAGAAGAAGCACCGGCUAACUCCGUGCCAGCAGCCGCGGUAAUAC